CACUCCUGCGGGAGGCAGCAGUGGGGAAUUUUGGACAAUGGGCGAAAGCCUGAUCCAGCAAUGCCGCGUGCAGGAUGAAGGCCUUCGGGUUGUAAACUGCUUUUGUACGGAACGAAAAAGCUCCUUCUAAUACAGGGGGCCCAUGACGGUACCGUAAGAAUAAGCACCGGCUAACUACGUGCCAGCAGCCGCGGUAAUACGUAGGGUGCGAGCGUUAAUCGGAAUUACUGGGCGUAAAGCGUGCGCAGGCGGUUAUGUAAGACAGAUGUGAAAUCCCCGGGCUCAACCUGGGAACUGCAUUUGUGACUGCAUGGCUAGAGUACGGUAGAGGGGGAUGGAAUUCCGCGUGUAGCAGUGAAAUGCGUAGAUAUGCGGAGGAACACCGAUGGCGAAGGCAAUCCCCUGGACCUGUACUGACGCUCAUGCACGAAAGCGUGGGGAGCAAACAGGAUUAGAAACCCCGGUAGUCCCAUG
RNAcentral lists this ribosomal RNA (474 nucleotides) under uncultured organism. Its description in RNAcentral is "partial 16S ribosomal RNA". It matches the Rfam family "Bacterial small subunit ribosomal RNA", at positions 334 to 799 of the family's 1533-position model. The record is from RNAcentral.